RNAcentral lists this long non-coding RNA (240 nucleotides) under Glycine max (soybean). RNAcentral's name for it is "long non-coding RNA (GMAX_LNC004670)". The record is from RNAcentral. Lineage: Eukaryota; Viridiplantae; Streptophyta; Magnoliopsida; Fabales; Fabaceae.
UAAUGUCGACAGAAUACAGCGACAACACAUGGCGUUGGGGAGAGGGUCCUACGUUGUCUCAGGCUCGCUCUGGCCCCACCACGCACAUCACGUCACAUGUGCCUCUCUGCUCUCUUUUGUCUUCUUCUGCUACCCUUACACGUGCAUCUGCUGCUCCCACAACACAAUAUCAAACUUGACAAUAAGUCAACGCCUCUCUCUUCAAAGGCUAGCCCAGCUCACUACACAAAUGUUUCGGCC